Megalobrama amblycephala (Wuchang bream) is the source of this 536-nucleotide long non-coding RNA. RefSeq lists it as uncharacterized. The record is from RefSeq and is a predicted model, not a curated record. Lineage: Eukaryota; Metazoa; Chordata; Actinopteri; Cypriniformes; Xenocyprididae. The transcript is spliced from 5 exons.
GUUCUGUCAUUUGUUGGAUCGCGUCGUUCGCGUCCGGGGUAGAGACGGAACCAGCGCGGCAGCGCCACAUUCUACGGCCGGUGUACCGAUGCACCCUGUGAAGACUUAUCCUGAGAGAGAGAGACCAGCGAGCAAGCAAAUUAACCAAUCAGAAGAUGGACCAUUUUCUAUGUUCAGUCUCACCAGAUUACAUUUAGGCAGAAGACUCUCUACCAUUGCAGUCCCAACUGACCAGGAAGGUCCUAAUAUCAGCGCACAGCUUCCCCUUCACUGCAAACAGGCUGAAAUUGGCUAAAUCGUCGAUUGCAGUCUCUCUCUCUAUGGAUCUCAGCAUUUUUGGACAGAAUUUAGGAUAUUGUCAGAGCCGGGAUCUCCUCUGAAGGACUGAGUACAUUUGUGUUCGCGGACACACAUACAGACCAGGAACAUUCUGAUGUUGUCAGUCAAGUUCUGAACUGGAACCAAUCUUUGGAGAAGUUCAUUUAUUUCCAAAGGUGAAAAAAAAAACCAGUGUGUUCUUUAAAAAAAAAUGAAUU